RNAcentral lists this ribosomal RNA (1462 nucleotides) under uncultured Bordetella sp. RNAcentral describes it as "partial 16S-23S ribosomal RNA intergenic spacer". It matches the Rfam family "Bacterial small subunit ribosomal RNA". The record is from RNAcentral. Lineage: Bacteria; Pseudomonadati; Pseudomonadota; Betaproteobacteria; Burkholderiales; Alcaligenaceae.
GGUUCGAUCGCCCGAAAGCUCAGAUUGAACGCUGGCGGGAGAUGCUGCAUGCAAGUCGAACGACCUGGACUUCAGUCUGGUGGCGAGUGGCGAACGGGUGAGUAAUGUAUCGGAACGUGCUAGUAGCGGGGGAUAACUACGCGGGCGUAUUCAAUACCGCAUACACGCCCUUCGAAGCAGGGGACCUUCGGGCCUCGCUAUUAGAGCGGCCGAUAUCCGGAUUAGCUGGUUGGUGGGGUAACAGCUCACCGAGCGAUCCGUGGCUGGUUUGAAGGUUGACCAGCCACCUGGGACUGAGACACGGCCCAGACUCUACGGGGGCAGCAGUGGGGAAUUACUACGGACGGUGGAAACACAGUCCAGCCAUCCGCGUGUGCGACAGUGGCUGACCGAGUUUGUAAAAAGCACUUUUGGCAGGAAAAGCGGCACGGGAUAAUACCCGUGCAACUGACGGUGCCUGCAGAAUGUACCGGCUAACUACGUGCAGCUUCUUAUGACCAAUACGUAGGGUGCAAGCGUUAAUCAGAUUACUGGGCGUAAAGCGUGCGCGAGCGGUUCGGAAAGAAAAGAUGUGAAAUCCCAGAGCUUAACUUUGGAACUGCGUGCACUACCGAGCUGAGUGUGUCAGAGGAGGGUGGAGAUUCCGCGUGUAGCGGUGAAAUGCGUAGAUAUGCGGAGGAACACAAGAUGGCGAAGAGCAGCCUCACAGGAUAACAGGCGCUCAUGCACGAAAGCGUGGGGAGCAAACAGGAUUAGAUACCUGGUGAUCCACGCCUAAACGAUGUCAAUAGCUGUUGGGGCCUUCGGGCCUUGGUAGCGCAACUAACGUGAAGUUGACCGCCUGGGGAGUACGGUCGCAAGAUUAAAACUCAAAGGUGACGGGGACCCGCACAAGCGGUGGAUGAUGAUGUGGAUUAAUUCGAUGCAACGCGAAAAACCUUACCUACCCUUGACAUGUCUGGAAUCCCGAAGAGAUUUGGGAGUGCUCGCAAGAGAACCGGAACACAGGUGCUGCAUGGCUGUCGUCCAGCUCAUUGUCGUGAGACCAUUGGGUUAAGUCCCGCAACGAGCGCAACCCUUGUCGUGCUUAGUUGCUACAAAAGAGACGCACUCUAAUGAGACUGCCGGUGACAAACCGGAGGAAGGUGGGGAUGACGUCAAGUCCUCAUGGCCCUUAUGGGGUAGGGCUUCACACGUCAUGACUGGUCGGGACAGAGGUCGCCAGCCCGCGAGGGGGCCGUCCAGAAACCCGAUCGUAGUCCGGAUCGCAGUCUGCAACUCGACUGCGUGAAGUCGGAAUCGCUGGUAAUCGCGGAUCAGCAUGUCAUGAUGAAUACGUUCCGAGUCUUGUACACACCGCCCAUCACCUACAUGGGAGUGGGUUUGCAGAAGUAGUUAGCCUAACCGUAAGGGCGAUUACCACGGUAGGAUUCAUGACUGGGGUGAAGUCGUAACAAGGUAA